GAUGCUUCAGGAGGAAGAACUUUGGUUGAUGAGUCAAUCUGAGUGUUCCUUUUUUUCUUUCCUUAUGCCGCUAGCGGGGGGCCUGUCAGCCCCUGCCCCACUGUUCCAACCUCUGUGACUGGAGCUCCCCGUAGUGAACCCACUACUCUCCCACCUCAGGCUCACUCUGCUGUGGCUGCCAGACUAAUCUGGUCAAAGAUGGUAGUCAUCUGAAGGUAGGUGAGGACUCUUGGGCUCCAACUCAUGGUCAGCAUUUCUGGGGUCUUUCUCUGAUGUGUGAGAUCAAAAGGAGAGAAUAUCUGAACUCAGGACUGUCUUGAAAAUCUUAGAGACUAUGAGGGGGAGAGUUUUCGUCUCAACUCUGGGCCCUCCCAGGGCACUCAGGAGUCUCAACUCCGCAUGGACCCCCUACCUCCUCUGAAGAACACAGGCUUGGCCAUGUGACCUGCCUGCCCUGACCGAUGGGAAAUUAGCAAAUGACACACGAGCAGAGGUUUCAGAAGCACUUAGGAAGUCGGGCAUGCUCUGUGGGCUGCAGUUGGAAGCCUGAGACCAUGAUGCAAAUGGCCUGAGGCAGCCUGCUGGAAAGGCCACGUGGAGGAGAACUGCGGCUCUCCAGCCGACCGUCGCCUCUACCUAACAACCCUGUGAAUAAAGCUUUCUUGGAUGAGCCAACCUUAGUCAACAGCGACAUGUAUGAUCCCAGGUGAGACCAGGAGAAGCGCCACUGAGCUGAGCCCAACCUGAAUUCUGACCCAC
Suricata suricatta (meerkat) is the source of this 759-nucleotide long non-coding RNA. RefSeq lists it as uncharacterized. The transcript has 4 exons. The record is from RefSeq and is a predicted model, not a curated record. NCBI's taxonomy places the organism in Eukaryota, Metazoa, Chordata, Mammalia, Carnivora, Herpestidae.